Molecule: long non-coding RNA, 1246 nt
Filed under: Gallus gallus (chicken)
Lineage: Eukaryota; Metazoa; Chordata; Aves; Galliformes; Phasianidae
Description: long non-coding RNA NONGGAT002744
Source: RNAcentral
CUGAGGGUGGCUUGUGAGCUGAAGCUUCUCUCCAAACACAAGGACAGAGGCGUCUGUCACAUAACCCAUGAAGAACCAUCACCUGAAAACUGUGCAUCACCUCGUGAGAAUCUCAGUCAGGGAUCCUUCAGUGUGUGUCACAUGGACAAAAAGAAAGGGGGAAACUCCUCCUGCAUGAACACGGCCGCAGGAUUGUCUUAAAGGUGCCGAGUUCCCACAAUCCAUGUGCAGCACACACGGUCCUCUUCCCACCCAGACCAUCCCAGCAGGAAGUCCUGCUGGGCCAGCUCAGCCCCAUGGGUGCACCUGGCUGUGGACUUGCACUAACACCGCACUGCAAGCAGCACCUGGCUCAUGCAGGACGUGAGGAUCCAUCCCAGUGCAGUCGGACACACCUGGGGAACCACGAGCCUUUCACCAGCUUUGAAAAAGAGUCAAGAGCAAGUGGGACCUCCAGAACAUGCAGCUCUAAGUGUUUGCCCUGCAAAGGGAUCUGGCAGUGCUGGUUCCCACCAACUCCUGUUGCUAAGUAGGGGCCUGGUAAGUUGCAGGCAGACAGCCCUGUGGGAGGCGUACAGAGAGGAGCCCCAAUUACUGCUCACGGGAAAAGGCAGCGUGUUAUGUUUGUGAGCAGUGAAGACACAUGGUCCAAAUUCUGAAGAAUGGCUGCUCAGAAGGCUGGUCCUUCACAUGCUUACGAUUUUAGGAGCAAAUCACAAGUUUGUUGCCACAGUCCUAUCCAGCAUAGUCCAAGUAGCAUCAUUCAUCUGGCAAACAGGAUCCUUCCAUCGGUCUGGCUGCAGAGAGAAGCAGCUCCGUCCUCCCCAGCACAGCAGCAGGAGCCCAGGGCAGGGCAGGACGGCGCAGAGCCACGCGCAGGCUGUGCUGAGGGCGGCUGCCUGCUGCAGUCCUUGCUCUCGCAGCAGGAUUGCUUGAUGGAUCACCUGGAAAGACAAACCCACUUAAACUUUCCAAGGAUUCAAACAAAUGCCUUAUGGCCCAUCAGGGGAUCUCCCCUUGACAUGUUCCUUUGGAUCAUGUGUUUAAGUCAUCAUUUUCUAUCCCCGCUUUGCAGAUCUGCAGCUUGCUGCUGGGGCACCAUCCGUCCUCAGACAAACCUGCCAGUGUGCUUCACUGAGAGCCCAUGGGCCCCUUUCCCAAGAGCCUACAAUGAGACCAUCCCUCGCUCCUUGAGAGCAAAGGUGAGGGCCUUAACCUGCCUAGAGAGCUGUUGCUGAUGUCCCGG